UGCAGGCUGCAACUCGCCUGCAUGAAGUCGGAAUUGCUAGUAAUCGCGGAUCAGCAUGCCGCGGUGAAUACGUUCCCGGGCCUUGUACACACCGCCCGUCACACCAUGGGAGUCGGUAACACCCGAAGCCUGUAGUCUAACCGCAAGGGGGACGCAGUCGAAGGUGGGAUUGAUGACUGGGGUGAAGUCGUAACAAGGUAUC
RNAcentral lists this ribosomal RNA (202 nucleotides) under uncultured bacterium. RNAcentral describes it as "partial 16S ribosomal RNA". It matches the Rfam family "Bacterial small subunit ribosomal RNA", at positions 1299 to 1500 of the family's 1533-position model. The record is from RNAcentral.